AGAGUUUGAUCAUGGCUCAGAUUGAACGCUGGCGGCAGGCCUAACACAUGCAAGUCGAGCGGUAGCACAGAGAGCUUGCUCUCGGGUGACGAGCGGCGGACGGGUGAGUAAUGUCUGGGAAACUGCCUGAUGGAGGGGGAUAACUACUGGAAACGGUAGCUAAUACCGCAUAAUGUCGCAAGACCAAAGUGGGGGACCUUCGGGCCUCAUGCCAUCAGAUGUGCCCAGAUGGGAUUAGCUUGUAGGUGGGGUAACGGCUCACCUAGGCGACGAUCCCUAGCUGGUCUGAGAGGAUGACCAGCCACACUGGAACUGAGACACGGUCCAGACUCCUACGGGAGGCAGCAGUGGGGAAUAUUGCACAAUGGGCGCAAGCCUGAUGCAGCCAUGCCGCGUGUGUGAAGAAGGCCUUCGGGUUGUAAAGCACUUUCAGCGGGGAGGAAGGCGGUGAGGUUAAUAACCUCAUCGAUUGACGUUACCCGCAGAAGAAGCACCGGCUAACUCCGUGCCAGCAGCCGCGGUAAUACGGAGGGUGCAAGCGUUAAUCGGAAUUACUGGGCGUAAAGCGCACGCAGGCGGUCUGUCAAGUCGGAUGUGAAAUCCCCGGGCUCAACCUGGGAACUGCAUUCGAAACUGGCAGGCUAGAGUCUUGUAGAGGGGGGUAGAAUUCCAGGUGUAGCGGUGAAAUGCGUAGAGAUCUGGAGGAAUACCGGUGGCGAAGGCGGCCCCCUGGACAAAGACUGACGCUCAGGUGCGAAAGCGUGGGGAGCAAACAGGAUUAGAUACCCUGGUAGUCCACGCCGUAAACGAUGUCGAUUUGGAGGUUGUGCCCUUGAGGCGUGGCUUCCGGAGCUAACGCGUUAAAUCGACCGCCUGGGGAGUACGGCCGCAAGGUUAAAACUCAAAUGAAUUGACGGGGGCCCGCACAAGCGGUGGAGCAUGUGGUUUAAUUCGAUGCAACGCGAAGAACCUUACCUGGUCUUGACAUCCACAGAACUUACCAGAGAUGCUUUGGUGCCUUCGGGAACUGUGAGACAGGUGCUGCAUGGCUGUCGUCAGCUCGUGUUGUGAAAUGUUGGGUUAAGUCCCGCAACGAGCGCAACCCUUAUCCUUUGUUGCCAGCGGUCCGGCCGGGAACUCAAAGGAGACUGCCAGUGAUAAACUGGAGGAAGGUGGGGAUGACGUCAAGUCAUCAUGGCCCUUACGACCAGGGCUACACACGUGCUACAAUGGCAUAUACAAAGAGAAGCGACCUCGCGAGAGCAAGCGGACCUCAUAAAGUAUGUCGUAGUCCGGAUUGGAGUCUGCAACUCGACUCCAUGAAGUCGGAAUCGCUAGUAAUCGUAGAUCAGAAUGCUACGGUGAAUACGUUCCCGGGCCUUGUACACACCGCCCGUCACACCAUGGGAGUGGGUUGCAAAAGAAGUAGGUAGCUUAACCUUCGGGAGGGCGCUUACCACUUUGUGAUUCAUGACUGGGGUGAAGUCGUAACAAGGUAACCGUAGGGGAACCUGCGGUUGGAUCACCU
RNAcentral lists this ribosomal RNA (1528 nucleotides) under Klebsiella pneumoniae CHS 40. RNAcentral's name for it is "bacterial SSU rRNA". It matches the Rfam family "Bacterial small subunit ribosomal RNA". The record is from RNAcentral. Lineage: Bacteria; Pseudomonadati; Pseudomonadota; Gammaproteobacteria; Enterobacterales; Enterobacteriaceae.